CGGAGGAAAAGAAACCAACAGGGAUUGCCCUAGUAACGGCGAGUGAAGCGGCAACAGCUCAAAUUUGAAAUCUGGCCCUCGUGGUCCGAGUUGUAAUUUGUAGAGGAUGCUUUUGGUUAGGUGCCUUCCGAGUUCCCUGGAACGGGACGCCAUAGAGGGUGAGAGCCCCGUCUGGUUGGACACCGAGCCUCUGUAAAGCUCCUUCGACGAGUCGAGUAGUUUGGGAAUGCUGCUCUAAAUGGGAGGUAUAUGUCUUCUAAAGCUAAAUAUUGGCCAGAGACCGAUAGCGCACAAGUAGAGUGAUCGAAAGAUGAAAAGCACUUUGAAAAGAGGGUUAAAAAGUACGUGAAAUUGUUGAAAGGGAAGCGCUUGUGACCAGACUUGGGCCCGGUCAAUCAUCCAGGGUUCUCCCUGGUGCACUUUUCCGGCUCAGGCCAGCAUCAGUUUGUCGCGGGGGAUAAAGACGUUGGGAAUGUGGCUCCCCCGGGAGUGUUAUAGCCCUUCGUGCAAUACCCUGCUUCGGACUGAGGUUCGCGCAUCUGCAAGGAUGCUGGCGUAAUGGUCAUCAGCGACCCGUCUUGAAACACGGACCAAGGAGUCGUCUUCGUAUGCGAGUGUUCGGGUGUCAAACCCCUACGCGUAAUGAAAGUGAACGCAGGUGAGAGCUUCGGCGCAUCAUCGACCGAUCCUGAUGUUCUCGGAUGGAUUUGAGUAAGAGCAUACGGGGCCGGACCCGAAAGAAGGUGAACUAUGCCUGUAUAGGGUGAAGCCAGAGGAAACUCUGGUGGAGGCUCGCAGCGGUUCUGACGUGCAAAUCGAUCGUCAAAUAUGGGCAUGGGGGCGAAAGACUAAUCGAACCUUCUAGUAG
RNAcentral lists this ribosomal RNA (868 nucleotides) under Nectria pseudotrichia. Its description in RNAcentral is "eukaryotic LSU rRNA". It matches the Rfam family "Eukaryotic large subunit ribosomal RNA", at positions 51 to 950 of the family's 3401-position model. Lineage: Eukaryota; Fungi; Ascomycota; Sordariomycetes; Hypocreales; Nectriaceae. The record is from RNAcentral.